AGCGAACGCUGGCGGCAGACCUAACACAUGCAAGUCGAACGAACCUUUCGGGGUUAGUGGCGGACGGGUGAGUAACACGUGGGAACGUGCCUUUAGGUUCGGAAUAACUCAGGGAAACUUGUGCUAAUACCGAAUGUGCCCUUCGGGGGAAAGAUUUAUCGCCUUUAGAGCGGCCCGCGUCUGAUUAGCUAGUUGGUUGAGGUAAUGGCUCACCAAGGCGACGAUCAGUAGCUGGUCUGAGAGGAUGAUCAGCCACAUUGGGACUGAGACACGGCCCAAACUCCUACGGGAGGCAGCAGUGGGGAAUCUUGCGCAAUGGGCGAAAGCCUGACGCAGCCAUGCCGCGUGAAUGAUGAAGGUCUUAGGAUUGUAAAAUUCUUUCACCGGGGACGAUAAUGACGGUACCCGGAGAAGAAGCCCCGGCUAACUUCGU
RNAcentral lists this ribosomal RNA (433 nucleotides) under uncultured bacterium. RNAcentral describes it as "partial 16S ribosomal RNA". It matches the Rfam family "Bacterial small subunit ribosomal RNA", at positions 29 to 506 of the family's 1533-position model. The record is from RNAcentral.